UAAUACGAAGGGGGCUAGCGUUGCUCGGAAUCACUGGGCGUAAAGCGCACGUAGGCGGACUCUUAAGUCGGGGGUGAAAGCCCAGGGCUCAACCCUGGAAUUGCCUUCGAUACUGGGAGUCUUGAGUAUGGCAGAGGUUGGUGGAACUGCGAGUGUAGAGGUGAAAUUCGUAGAUAUUCGCAAGAACACCA
Molecule: ribosomal RNA, 191 nt
Filed under: uncultured bacterium
Lineage: Bacteria
Description: partial 16S ribosomal RNA
Rfam family: Bacterial small subunit ribosomal RNA
Source: RNAcentral